Molecule: ribosomal RNA, 541 nt
Filed under: Chytridiomycota sp. Mori T23
Lineage: Eukaryota; Fungi; Chytridiomycota
Description: eukaryotic LSU rRNA
Rfam family: Eukaryotic large subunit ribosomal RNA
Source: RNAcentral
CAGCACCUCAAAUCAUACAGGAGUACCCGCUGAACUUAAGCAUAUCAAUAAGCGGAGGAAAAGAAACUAACAAGGAUUCCCCUAGUAACGGCGAGUGAAGCGGGAAAAGCUCAAAUUUGAAAUCUCCCACCAGGGCGAAUUGUAGUUUAAAGAGUCGCAAUCGAAGACAGGACGUGCACAAGUUCUUUGGAACGAGACAUCAGAGAGGGUGAGAAUCCCGUGGAUGGUGCGUCUGUGUUUUUGUGUGAUGCGUGCUCGAAGAGUCGGUUUGUUUGGGAAUGCAGACCAAAUGGGUGGUAAAUAGCAUCCAAGGCUAAAUAUUGGCGAGAGACCGAUAGCGAACAAGUACCGUGAGGGAAAGAUGAAAAGAACUUUGAAAAGAGAGUUAAAAGUGCGUGAAAUUGUCAAAAGGGAAACGUUUGGAACCAGUUGGGACUGGACAAAGCAUGCCAUUGGUGUGUGGUCGGACAGUCUGGGCCAGCUGCGGUUUAGUGUGGGUGAAAAUGCGAAGGGAAGGUAGCCAUUGGUGUUAUAGCCCUGC